RNAcentral lists this ribosomal RNA (654 nucleotides) under Triticum aestivum (bread wheat). Its description in RNAcentral is "partial small subunit ribosomal RNA". Lineage: Eukaryota; Viridiplantae; Streptophyta; Magnoliopsida; Poales; Poaceae. The record is from RNAcentral.
AUGGCGUAUGCAAGUGAUGAGAGUAUGUUCAAGUAUUUAAAAGUUGUCAGCAAGAUGUUUGAUAGUGAGGCUGAAGGCUAUGAAUUCUACAAAAAAUAUGCUCUUGAAAAAGGUUUUAGUGUGAGGAAAAGCUACGUUGAGUGGGAUGGAUCCAACAAAUACAUAAUUUUAAGGAAAAUUGUGUGUAGUCGUCAAGGGUUUCGCGAAGAGAAGCACAUGAAAAGAAAGAUGGAAGAUAGAAAGAGGAGGCCACGAAGUUUAACUCGUGUUGGGUGUAAUGCUAAAUUGGUCAUUACGAGACAGGAGGAAACCGGUCGGUGGUUUGUCAAGGAUUUCAUCGAUGAGCACAGCCAAUAUCCUCUAGCCCCACGGGAUCUUUCUUGUCUGCUGCGUUCGCACAGACGAAUUAGCGAUGAGCAGAAAGCGGACAUUGCGGACAUGGAAAAAUGUGGGAUCCGCAAAUACCGUAUUAUGGAUAUUUUGUGCUUUCAAUACGGUGGAUUUGAUAAGGUUGGAUGCAUAAAGAUGGACAUUUAUAAUUUCUGCCAUGCUAAUAAGCAGGAGACAAUCAGUGCCGGUGAUGCUAAAACGGUGAUCAUGCACAUGAUGGCGAGGCGAGAGCGAGAUGUGGAUUUUUUCUUCAAGUACUUGGUA